Molecule: long non-coding RNA, 1111 nt
Organism: Harpia harpyja (harpy eagle)
Lineage: Eukaryota; Metazoa; Chordata; Aves; Accipitriformes; Accipitridae
Exons: 3
Source: RefSeq, a predicted model, not a curated record
CUGUCACACAUGCGCAGGUAUUGAUAGCAUAUGUCCAUACAUUUCGUGUGGUUUGCUCAAAUUUUUAUGGGUUUAAUAUUUUGCACCUUCUAUGAAAACUGGUUUGCUGCUAGAUAACUGUAUAAGUGAGAUUUGAUAAAUGAUCAUAUAUUAACAUUAUGGUUGAAACAAUAGACAAAGGGUAACCGGGGAGAUAAUUACAAAAGUGUAGUCAAGUGAUUAACUAAUAAUUAUUCAUAAGUUUUGCAGUUCUUGGCUCUUAUGACUAGAUGUUCCUGUACGCUAGAUGAGAACAACGUUGAAACUGACCACAUGUGAUUGAAACUGCGUUAAGCUUCAAGAUCAAAGAACAAGGACAAGAAUAAAGACUUCAAGGACAGCCAACAAGAACUUCAAAUGGGUCGGUGGUCGCAAAAGCAGCCCUUCGACUCAAAUGGAUCCUUUAUUGCGCAUGAUUGGAUGUAGGCAGUACUAAGAUAAUCAGUUGCAGUCAUUUUUAUGUAUAUAUAUACUAAUCUGAUUAAUAUGCAAUUAGUUAUUCUAUAUAACCUGUUAGUGCUAAAGCUGUGGUAUGCACGCUAGGUGGAACUAUUCCCCGUGCAUCCAGCACUGCAAUAAAGAAUGCCUGCUUUCUAAAACUCCAAAAUGAGUCUUAGAGAGUUUCUUCGACCGGCUUUUCGGUAACAUUUUGGCACCCCAGAUGGGACGAGCCUUCUGAGACUCGAUGGACAUGGGAUCGCAGGACCUCCAGCCGGCACCGAGAUUUCUUGGGGAGACCCUUGAUCCCCGUUCCCCGGGCUCACAAGCCAAGGCCACUGGAAACUCUUUACAAGAACUUCGUCAGUAUGUCUCCACAGCUGGACCCUUAGAAUUGGACACAGCAGCGCAUCCCUUCCAACCAGGAGAUUGGGUAUAUAUGUUCCUGUACGCUAGAUGAGAACAAUGUUGAAACUGACCACAUGUGAUUGAAACUGCCUUAAGCUUCAAGAUCAAAGAACAAGGACAAGAAUAAAGACUUCAAGGACAGCCAACAAGAACUUCAAAUGGGUCGGUGGUCGCAAAAGCAGCCCUUCGACUCAAAUGGAUCCUUCAUUGCGCAUGAACGGAUAUA